AGUGAACGCUGGCGGUAUGCCUAACACAUGCAAGUCGAACGGCAGCACACUAAGAGCUUGGUCUUACGGGGUGGGAGUGGCGUGCGUGUGAGGAAUAUAUCGUGAUCUACUUUUUCGUGGGGGUUAACGUAGGGAAACUUACUCUAAUACCGCAUACGCCCUACGGUUGAAAGCAGUGGAUCUUCGGACCUUUCGCGAAUGAAUUCGCCGAUGUCGGAUUGGCUAGUUGGCGGGGUAAAUGCCCACGCAUGCGACGAUCCGUAGCUGGUCUGAGUGGAUGAUCGGCCACACUGGAACUGAGACAGGGUCAAGAGUCCUGAGGGAGGGAGCAGAGGGGAAUAUUGGACAGUGGGCGCGAGUAUGAUACAGUCAUACCGCGUGUGUGAAGGAGGCGUUCGGGUUGUGAAGCCGUUUUGUUGGGAAAGAAAAGCAGUAGGUUAAUACCACGCUGGUCUGACGGUACCCAAAGAAUAAGCACCGGCUAACUACGUG
This 492-nucleotide ribosomal RNA is filed under the name uncultured bacterium. Its description in RNAcentral is "partial 16S ribosomal RNA". It matches the Rfam family "Bacterial small subunit ribosomal RNA", at positions 29 to 507 of the family's 1533-position model. The record is from RNAcentral.